Antechinus flavipes (yellow-footed antechinus) is the source of this 2193-nucleotide long non-coding RNA. RefSeq lists it as uncharacterized. NCBI's taxonomy places the organism in Eukaryota, Metazoa, Chordata, Mammalia, Dasyuromorphia, Dasyuridae. The record is from RefSeq and is a predicted model, not a curated record. The transcript has 2 exons.
UUUUCUGUCCUUUCCCCAUCACACCGGAAGAUGUUCGGUGGGAGUGAAUCACAUGGUGCGGGAGGGUCUGCAGAUGAAAAGAGAGGUUGGCUGGAGCAGAGAUCGUUUUUGCGAUCCGGUGCCUCGGGAAUGGCAGGAGUUAAUUAUUCAAACAUUAAGUAGCAUUGGUGUCUUGGAGCCUCGGAGGUCACACUAUUUGGGGCUAGGACUAGGGCAGUUGACUUCUCCAGUGCAGGCCUCCUUGCUCUCACCACAUAGCUCAGUUUACGUACACACAACCCUAUAAAGUUCACGGAGCGAUUUAUUUCCGGAAAUAGAAAAGUCUAGAAUAAUCUGUACCCAGUGCAUAGAAUAAAAUCCAGGAUUACAGAGUUCUCUGAUUCUCAGCAGAAGAGUGACAUUGGCUUCUCCACGAGUCAGCUCUGAAUGAACAUUUUUGCCUGCUGUUCCAGAUUCCUAAAAGAUUCCCCAGCUCCCACACCCCCUUCUCUACCUCCCAGCUUCCCUGAUUUCAUUCAAAUCCAUCUAAAAUCCCAUCUUCUACAAGAAGUCCUCCCUUAAUGCUAGUGCCUUCUCUCUCCUGAUUAACCGUUUGAAAGAGAUUCUUUGGUUUAUAUCUCAGUUUUCUCAACUGUAUGAGGAUCAAAUAAAAUGUAAAGCACCUAUCUAUAUAAAUAUUAUUACUGUUUACUGACUGACUUGGAACUCCAGGUUAUGAACUGUGGCGGCGUUCUUCUCUUCUUUAAAAUAAUAUAAAGGUUCUCUCUGGGAGCAGGUUUCUUGGGGAGGUUUUCUGGAGGCAGCUUUAGUUUCAGUUAAAAGUAAUAAUCACCCAAAUGCAGCCAGGUGCUAAAAGUUCAAACAUUUAUUUCUUAUCCCUUUCCAAGCCCAGUUAGCUUUCUUAGAGGUCUAUAUUUCUGCUUGGUUCCAAGAGCUCUUGCUGUUGUCCUUUGCCUCUGCUUUCUUCAACCUCCAGCCAGCACCAAGGUAGGAGAUGGAAUGAUUAUCUCUCUUUGGCUCCAGUCCUCUGUCUUCUCGGAGUCUGACUCCGAGCUCUUCCGAGUCUGUUUUUGGCUGAGUUUGUCCCAGUAUAAAUAUGCAUAUAAAUGCAGGAUACUGAAUAUAAACCAAUCAUUGUAUCACUAGGGAUGUUGUAACCAUAAUUUGUUGUAUUUGUAAUAAUGUUGUUAUAAGAUUAAAUCAGUCAUACUGAACUUAAGAGAACUAUUAAUCACCAUGCUAAACUAGAUAACCACGGUCUUAUGGAUUUCACUUAGUUAACACCUUGUAAGAAUUCUUGUUUCAAGUACAGAGUUCUGGCCCAUUUCAAACUUAGUGAAAGAUGAAAUGUGAGAAGGCAUUUCCUUACCUCUCAGUUCUUUGCCUAGGUGGAGGGACUGUGGGUAUGGAAUAUUACAUAUGUCAGAAUUUUCUAACACUUUAGUUGCUUUUGCUGAACUUAUUUUGUUUCCUCUUUUUUGUUUUUGUUACAAAAAGGAUGACUCUGGUAGCAUUAGGAUGGAUACAUUGUUAUUAAAAAAAAAAAAAAAGACCAAUAAAAUUUUAUUAAAGAAAAGAAAAUGUCUAUUACUAGUGGGAGAGUCAUUUGUAUGUGUAUUUGCAUGGAGUUAAGUAAAUCCAAACACUUCCUGAGAACAAUGAAAAGAAGUUUUGAAGAAGGAAAAAGUCCAAGGAGCAAAGGACAAACUUCUCUUUUAUCCUUCAAAUAUUCCUAGGUCAUACUACAGAAAUUCCCUUUACUUUACCUUCCUCACUUGCUGUAGGAAGUGAUUAUUUGAUAAAUAUCCAGGAACAUAGGUUAAAUUCGAUAGCCUAGCUUACCUAUGCAAGGCAAGGAAGGUAUAGAUUGUUUAAGAUUUUGCAAAUUCUAAGUACACAGUUUAGAGGGAAUGUUGAUCUUUACAAGACCUCUGAUUUUUGGGACAAGAGGAACAAUUUAUGUUGAAGAGCAGUGAAAAGUAGAAGGGCAAAGGUUAUUGCUAAGAUUAUAUUCAGAGAGAGCAGAAUUUGGAAAGGGAGAUGGGAGUACAAAGAUUUAGUAAAAAGAAAACCAUAUUUGAGAUUAAAAGAAUUGUUGGGUCACUUUCUUGGCAAAGGUACUAGAAUGAUUUGCCUUUGCCUUUUUCCAGCUCGUUUUACAAAUGAGAAACUGAGACAAAAAGGGUUAAGUAA